UUGCGCAGUAUAGGUGGGAGGCUAAGAAAAUAUAUUUGUGGAUAUAUUAGAGCCAACAGUGAGAUACCACUCUAAUUAAACUAGAAUUCUAACCUUGAUUGCCAUAAGCUGGCCAAGGAACAGUUUCAGGUAGGCAGUUUGACUGGGGCGGUCGCCUCCUAAAAGGUAACGGAGGCGUGCAAAGGUUUCCUCAGGCUGGUCGGAAAUCAGUCGUAGAGUGUAAAGGCAUAAGGAAGCUUGACUGCAAGACCUACAAGUCGAGCAGAGACGAAAGUCGGCCUUAGUGAUCCGACAGUGC
This 298-nucleotide ribosomal RNA is filed under the name Gracilariopsis silvana. Its description in RNAcentral is "partial large subunit ribosomal RNA". It matches the Rfam family "Bacterial large subunit ribosomal RNA", at positions 2134 to 2429 of the family's 2925-position model. The record is from RNAcentral. Lineage: Eukaryota; Rhodophyta; Florideophyceae; Gracilariales; Gracilariaceae.